This 71-nucleotide transfer RNA is filed under the name Camelus bactrianus (Bactrian camel). It matches the Rfam family "tRNA". Rfam says of the family: Transfer RNA (tRNA) molecules are approximately 80 nucleotides in length. RNAcentral also lists the same sequence under 2 other names. Lineage: Eukaryota; Metazoa; Chordata; Mammalia; Artiodactyla; Camelidae. The record is from Rfam by way of RNAcentral.
UGGGGUAUAGCUCAGUGGUAGAAUAUGUGCUUGGCAUGCACAAGGUUUUGGGUUCAAUCCCAGUACCUCUA